This 83-nucleotide transfer RNA is filed under the name Sphingobacteriaceae bacterium. RNAcentral's name for it is "tRNA-Tyr". It matches the Rfam family "tRNA". Rfam says of the family: Transfer RNA (tRNA) molecules are approximately 80 nucleotides in length. Their secondary structure includes four short double-helical elements and three loops (D, anti-codon, and T loops). The record is from RNAcentral. Lineage: Bacteria; Pseudomonadati; Bacteroidota; Sphingobacteriia; Sphingobacteriales; Sphingobacteriaceae.
UGGGCGGUUUCCUAGUGGUCUAAGGAGGUUCACUGUAAAUGAAUUUGCUCGCGCAAUCGGUAGUUCGAAUCUACCUCGCCCAA